Molecule: ribosomal RNA, 254 nt
Filed under: uncultured bacterium
Lineage: Bacteria
Description: partial 16S ribosomal RNA
Rfam family: Bacterial small subunit ribosomal RNA
Source: RNAcentral
UACGGGGGGGGCAAGCGUUGUUCGGAAUUACUGGGCGUAAAGGGCUCGUAGGCGGCCAACUCAGUCGGACGUGAAAUCCCCAGGCUUAACCUGGGAACUGCAUCCGAUACUGGAUGGCUUGAAUCCGGGAGAGGGAUGCAGAAUUCCAGGUGUAGCGGUGAAAUGCGUAGAUAUCUGGAGGAAUACCGGUGGCGAAGGCGGCAUCCUGGACCGGCAUUGACGCUGAGUGAGCGAAAGCCAGGGGAGCAAACGGG